Molecule: ribosomal RNA, 468 nt
Filed under: uncultured bacterium
Lineage: Bacteria
Description: partial 16S ribosomal RNA
Rfam family: Bacterial small subunit ribosomal RNA
Source: RNAcentral
GACGAACGCUGGCGGCGUGCUUAACACAUGCAAGUCGAACGGAAAGGCCCUGCUUUUGUGGGGUGCUCGAGUGGCGAACGGGUGAGUAACACGUGAGUAACCUGCCCUUGACUUUGGGAUAACUUCAGGAAACUGGGGCUAAUACCGGAUAGGAGCUCCUGCUGCAUGGUGGGGGUUGGAAAGUUUCGGCGGUUGGGGAUGGACUCGCGGCUUAUCAGCUUGUUGGUGGGGUAGUGGCUUACCAAGGCUUUGACGGGUAGCCGGCCUGAGAGGGUGACCGGCCACAUUGGGACUGAGAAACGGCCCAGACUCCUACGGGAGGCAGCAGUGGGGAAUGUUGCACAAUGGGCGGAAGCCUGAUGCAGCAACGCCGCGUGCGGGAUGACGGCCUUCGGGUUGUAAACCGCUUUCGCCUGUGACGAAGCGUGAGUGACGGUAAUGGGUAAAGAAGCACCGGCUAACUACGUG